UACGUAGGGUGCGAGCGUUAAUCGGAAUUACUGGGCGUAAAGCGCGCGUAGGUGGUUCGUUAAGUUAGGAGUGAAAGCCCCGGGCUCAACCUGGGAAUUGCUUCUAAAACUGGCGAGCUAGAGUAUGGUAGAGGGUGGUGGAAUUUCCUGUGUAGCGGUGAAAUGCGUAGAUAUAGGAAGGAACAUCAGUGGCGAAGGCGACCACCUGGACUGAUACUGACACUGAGGUGCGAAAGCGUGGGGAGCAAACAGGAUUAGAUACCCCGGUAGUCCCUGA
Molecule: ribosomal RNA, 277 nt
Filed under: uncultured prokaryote
Description: partial 16S ribosomal RNA
Rfam family: Bacterial small subunit ribosomal RNA
Source: RNAcentral